GAUGAACGCUGGCGGCGUACCUAAUACAUGCAAGUCGAGCGAACGGACGAGAAGCUUGCUUCUCUGAUGUUAGCGGCGGACGGGUGAGUAACACGUGGAUAACCUACCUAUAAGACUGGGAUAACUUCGGGAAACCGGAGCUAAUACCGGAUGAUAUUUUGAACCGCAUGGUUCAAAAGUGAAAGACGGUCUUGCUGUCACUUAUAGAUGGAUCCGCGCUGCAUUAGCUAGUUGGUAAGGUAACGGCUUACCAAGGCAACGAUGCAUAGCCGACCUGAGAGGGGGCUCGGCAACCUGGGACUUGAGCCCCGGUCCAGACCCCUAGGGAGGGCAGCGUAGGGAAUUCUUCCGAAGUGGGCAAAGGCCGGACGGGGCAACGCCCGGGAGGUAAGAAAGGUCUUCGGUUCGAAAAACCUUUUUUUUGGGAAAAAAAAAUUUUGAAAGAAACUGGCCCCAUUUUGGCGGUACCAAAACAAAAGCCCCCGGCAAACUCCGU
RNAcentral lists this ribosomal RNA (496 nucleotides) under uncultured bacterium. RNAcentral's name for it is "partial 16S ribosomal RNA". It matches the Rfam family "Bacterial small subunit ribosomal RNA", at positions 28 to 506 of the family's 1533-position model. The record is from RNAcentral.